Molecule: ribosomal RNA, 254 nt
Filed under: uncultured bacterium
Lineage: Bacteria
Description: partial 16S ribosomal RNA
Rfam family: Bacterial small subunit ribosomal RNA
Source: RNAcentral
AACGUAGGUCCCGAGCGUUAUCCGGAUUUACUGGGCGUAAAGCGUGUUCAGGCGGUCUAGCAAGUCGGGCAUGAAAUCUCUCGGCUCAACCGGGAGGGGUUGUCCGAUACUGCUGGGCUUGAGGGCAGCAGAGGGUGGUGGAAUUCCAGGUGUAGCGGUGAAAUGCGUAGAUAUCUGGAGGAAUACCGGUGGCGAAGGCGGCAUCCUGGACCGGCAUUGACGCUGAGUGAGCGAAAGCCAGGGGAGCAAACAGG